ACACACCGAGCCCAGCCUCCUGGACGUCCGUUCAAACGUGUCCGACCGAGCAAAGCUCGACCACGGUGAGGUCAGCAUCGACCGGGAUGCACAGUGUACAGUAUUGCAGCGUUUAGUUUCCAGGUGGGUGAAUCAGAUGAGCCACAUGCAGAUGUGUCUGUUGCACCCCCUCUGCGGUUAGAGGUUCUUCUGAAACUGCCGCAUUAUCAGGUGGAAUAAGCGUGCAGCAGGCCCUGCUCCUCCUCCUCCUCCUCCUCCUCUUUACAGACGUCGUUUCCUGAGUAUUCGCAUUCCUCUGGCUCAGCGCAGCGGGAAAGAACAGGAGCCUGGUGAUGUAAGAGGCUGCAGCCUACACAUCCUCACAACGUCAGACUCGGGU
Pygocentrus nattereri (red-bellied piranha) is the source of this 379-nucleotide long non-coding RNA. RefSeq lists it as uncharacterized. The record is from RefSeq and is a predicted model, not a curated record. NCBI's taxonomy places the organism in Eukaryota, Metazoa, Chordata, Actinopteri, Characiformes, Serrasalmidae. The transcript has 3 exons.